CAGAGCAGUAAGGCGAAGAAAGAGAAGAGAAGGAGCGUCUGAACGUCAAGAGGAGUUCAGCUGGGGAUGGCCAAACUCCAGGGGAAGAUCAUCUUCUCACUACAUCCCCUUUCCAGCUCCCCAUCCAUCCCACUGAGAGCCACCUCCAUCAGUCAAUAAAAUCCCUGCAUUCACCAUCCUUCAAGUUCACAUGACCCGAUUCUUCCUGGAUGCCAGACAAGGACCCGGGUACUAAGAGGACAGGGUGUAAAAAGCUGUCUGACUCUCCACUAAACUGGUUAACGCUUAGCUGUCUGGGGAUGGCAACUGCUAAAAGGGUAUUCAUUCUAACACUUCCCUAGAGGCUACUGAUACUGAAGUGCUGGGAAGGAAAGAGCAUGGUCCUUUUAAAUGAUAUGGAAGUGGGGAAUGGAAGGGCUGGGUAGAGGAGGGCAUGGUGCCUGGCUAGGACUCUACCCCCACAGACCUAGGUGAGGACAGGCACAUCUGUCUUUGUGCCCAAAUGUUGCAUUUUCCAAGACCACUCUGGCCUGCCACACCCCCAUCCUGUGCCUAUAAAAACCCCUGAAACCCUAGCAGUCAGAUACACAAGUGGCUGGACAUUGUGAGGAACACAUUGGUGGAAAAAGACACAGGUGGCUGGACGUUGAGAGGACAUCGAGGGGAGCACUCUGGCGGAAGAGCACACCAACAGAUGCCAGCAUGCCGCAGGCCAUUGACCAGCAGAAUGACACAGAGUUUGGCUGGGGCAGUCAGAGGAGAGCCCAGGUCCCUGAGCUGCCUGACUCCAGGAAAAAGCCAUCUCCCUUCUGGCUCCCCCAUCUGCUGAGAGCUACUUGUACUCAAUAAAACCUUGAACUCAUUCUCCAAGCCCACAUGCGAUCCAGUUCUUCCAGUACACCAAGGUUGACAGGGUCCAGAGCAAAACCUACGGAAGAAGCUGCAGAGGCCAGGUGGAGGGAAGGAUGCUGAACUGGAGGAGGCCAGGAAAUUAUGAGGUACACCAAUCAAACAUAGUGUGUCCAGAAUUUGUGGGUUCUUGGUCUCACUGACUUCAAGAACGAAGCUGCGGACCCUCACGGUGAUUCUAAGCACAUUAAAAUCUGGAUGACACUUAUCUGAAUCAUUUCGCAACUUGGAGAGAGAUGGAGAAGACACGCAUGGUGUAACUGGGCAUCACCAGAAUGUGCACUGCCAUCUGUGGCUGUCUUCCUGCUGGCAAAUCCUUUUCAUUCCAAGCAAAUAAGAUUCCCUAAAUUAGACAAAAAGGAAGAAACACAACAGAGUCCAUAAUUCUGAGAGGAAGAGAAGAGUGAUCAUCAGCAGCAAAAGGCAAUUGCAGAGAAGCACCACCAAGAGCCAGCUUCAUGCUCAGGAGUGAAUGCUGAGCCGCCUCCUCGUGGUUUCCGGUGCUCCACAUGUUCAGAGAAACUUCUCUGGCCUCACACGUAGAACAGUGGUUCGACGGUACCUUGUGGAAUAAGUAGAAAGUCGGUUUGAAAUCACUGCCUGGGUGGUUUUAAAUACUCCUUGGAAAAUCAGACUGAAGUACAACAGUUGUAUUAUAAUUCCUAUCCCAGAAGGCCUCUAAAGCUAUCUUACCCAAGAGAAGAAAAAAAAAUCCUUUGAGGACUAAGAUCGCAUGAAUGCAUAAACAUCACGAAAUGGACCUGAGGUAGGGAUUGAAAGCGAUGGUUUCCCCAGGGCCAUGAGCCAGUCAAGCACACGAAGAAACUGAGAGGGAGAACUGUUUCUGGAAAGUGUAUUGGAUGGUUCCCUUAACUGACGCUCCAUGUCACAUAAUUAACACAAGAAAAAAUUAGAAUCUCGGGACCUUGCCAUAUAAAAUGAUGUUCAGAAAACAGAGCCUAAUGCUUUGAGGCUGAACUUGAAGCUCCAGUGGAUCAUCACAAAAUUUAAACCAUACGAUCGCAACCACCCUGGAUGCCACCAAGGGACACAGUCCGGAGACCCACUGGGAGGCCUUUGGAUACUUCUUCCUGUCAACACCUAUUCUCACUGCUGAACCCCUAAAGCCAGUUCCUUUAUUUUCAGAUUGGGGUAAUAGCCUCCUAGGUGGGAGAGCACUGAGAGAGGCCAUCUAAAUUUCAGCAAAGCAUUUUAGUAAGUUUCUCAUGACAUUUUUGUGGUCAAGACAAAUAGAUAUGGUCUCAUUGUAAUAUGUUUGAGUAGUACAGUCAGGCACCACAUAAUGAUGCUUUGGUCAAGGAUGAACCACAUGUAGGAGGGUGGUCCCAGGAGAUUAUAAUGGAGCUGAAAUUUUUCUAUUGCCUGGCAUUUAUCAUAAUGUGCUUUUUAUCAUUAUUUUAGAGUAUACUUCUUUUUUGUUGUUGUUGUUUUUUGAGACUGAGUCUCGCUCUGUCGUCCAGGCUGGAGUGCAGUGGCACAAUCUGAGCUACCACAACUUCCACCUACUGGGUUCAAGCGAUUCUUGUGCCUCAGCCUCCCAAGUAGCUGGGAUUAUAGGCACCCGCCACCACACCUGGCUAAUUUUUGUAUUUUUAGUAGAGACGGGGUUUCACCACGUUGGCCAGGCUGGUCUCGAACUCCUGACCUCAUGAUCUGCUUGCCUCAGCCUCCCAAAGUCCUGGGAUUACAGGUGUGAGCCACUGCACCUGGCCUACUUUUUUUUUAUUUUUUAUUUUUAAAAAGGGUAAUUGUACAACAGCCUCAGGCAGGUCCUUCAGGAGCUAUUCCAGAAGAAGGCAUUGUUAUCACAGGAGAUGACAGCUCCAUGUGUGUCACUGCCCCUGAAGACCUCCCAGUGUGACAAGGUGUGCAGGUGGAAGACAGUGGUAUUGAUGAUCCUCACCCUGUGGAGGCCAAAGCAAAUGUGUGCAUUUGUGUCCUAGUUUUCAAUAAAAAAGUCUUAAAAGUUAAAAACAAAUUUUUAAAUAGCAAAAUCUUAUAGAAUACGCAUAUAAAAAGAAAUAUUUUUUACAGCUGUAUAAUGUGUUUGUGUUUUAAUCUAAGUGUUAGACAAAAAUAUGAAAAAGUGAAAAAGUUUGAAAACAUUAAGAAGUCUAUAAAGUUAGAAAAGGUACAGUAUGCUAAGGUUAAUUUAUUUUAUUUAUUUAUUUAUUUUGAGAUGGAGUCUUCCUCUGCUGACCAGGAUGGAGUGCAUGCAGUGGCACAAUCUCGGCUCACGGUAACCUCUGCCUCCUGGGUUCAAGCAAUUCUCCUGCCUCAGCCUCCCGAGUAGCUGGGAUUACAGGCAUAUGCCACCACACCAGGCUAAUUUUUGUAUUUUUAGUAGAGACGGGGUUUCACCAUGUUGAUCAGGCUGGUUUUUAACUCCUGACCUCAAGUGGUCUACCCUCCUCUGCCUCCCAAAGUGCUGGGAUUACAGACAUGAACCACUGCACCCAGCUGGUUAAUUUAUUAUUAAAGAAAGAAAAUUGUAAAAGGUAAAUUUAAUGUGGCCAAAGUGUCCAGUGCUUAUAAAAUCUACAGUAGUAUAAUGUCCUAGGCCUUCAUAUUCACUUACCACCCACUCACUCAUCCAGAGCAACUUCCAGUCCUGCCAAGCUUCAUUCCUGUUAGGUGUCCUAUAUAGGGGUACCAAUUUUUACUUUUAUUUUUUAUUUAUUUUUUUUGAGACGGAGUCUUGUUCUGUCCCCAGGCUGGAGUGCAGUGGUGUGAUAUUGACUCACUGCAACCUCCAACUCCCAGGUUCACGCGAUGCUCCUGCCUCAGCCUCCCGAGUAGCUGGGACUACAGGCACACACCACCACACCCAGCUAAUUUUUUUUGUAUUUUUACUAGAGACGGGGUUUCACCAUGCUGGCCAGGCUGGUCUCGAUCUCCUGACCUUGUGAUCCGCCUGCCUCGGCCUCCCAAAGUGCCGGGAUUACAGGCAUGAGCCACCACGCCCAGCCAAUUUUUAUCUUUUAUAUCAUAUUUUUACCAUACUUUGUCUAUGUUUAGUGAACAAAUACCGUUGUGUUACCGUUGCCUACAGUAUUGAGUGCAGUGGCGUGCUGCACAUGUCUGCAGCCUGGGAGCAAUGGGCUGUAGCACAGAGCCUGGGUGUGUAGAAGGCUGCACCUUCUGGGUUUGUGUAAGUGCACUCUGUGGUAUUCGCAUAAUGAUGAAAUUGCUUAAUGACACUCUUCUCAGAACGUAUCCCUGUCGUUCAGUGAUGCAUGAGAGUAUUUUAAAGGUAGAUUAAUCAUGAGAUGAACAGUGGUGGAAUUUGAUAAAUAGGUAGAAAUUGGCUUCAAGGAGAAUUUUAGUGGUGAUUCCAAGCCUACAUUUAAUCAUUUUAUUAACUUGGAUAAAGACAUCAAUGGCACAUUGAUGAAUGUGCCAUAUGGCAUUUAGUAAAAAGGGAUGGCUCCACUCAAGAGGACAUUAUCGUGAGCCAAAGGGACUCCGAGAGGCUGAAAUGAUUUCCCUAGAUAUAACUAAAUACAGUUUAGCAGAAACGAAUAACCAAUUUCUAUAUUUGGAAAUGCCAUCGUGCCUUCCCCCACCCCAAUCACCUUCAAUACCAAAUUGUAUAGGACACACCUGGUAACUGCACGUAGCCUCCUCUCCCCCUCCUUUGUUGGGACAAUGGGGCUGAUAGAAGAAAACUGGAUUUUUUUUUCCAGUUUUGUUUUCCAGCAACCCCUCAGGACUCUGGUAUUUUUGUUAAUUAUUUGGGAUUUAGGAAUUAAGAGUGAGACCUGACUGAGUCAUGAAAAGGAUGGAGUCUAUAUUCCAAUUUAGAAAGUGGUUUCUGAGACCAUCCCCUGGGGUGGUCAGCAUACCCCAGAGAGGUGAUCAGUUCUGGACAGAGCAUCUUGAGCAGGAAAGCAAUAAUAAACCGGGGUGUGUUUUGAGGAUGGCACCAUGCUUGAGACGGUGUCAUGUGAAGCAGACUGGAAGGAACUGUGGAUGCUGAAUGUGGGGAAGAGAAGACUCUAGAAGCACACCGUCACUGCCUUCAGGUGUUGGAAAGGCCGGCACCAGGGAGAAGGCUGAGACUUGUUCUGUGGGGCAUUAAUGGAAGGAUGCUCAACUGGAUCUUAUACUGAAAGCAAAUAUGAGAUCAAGUCUGCCAGGGUAGGUGUGGAGAAAGUGGCCCUGUAAGCCAAGGGGCUAUUGAGUUCAAUCCUGGAUGUCAUUCCAGCUGGUGGGGUGCGGUGGAAACACCAGGGAAGGGCAGGGGUAGGGGGGGACCAGCCAUGCAGGGGAGAAGGCAAGUCCUCAGACCCCUGUUCUGUGUGGCACUGUGCGGAAGAGGGGAAGGCUGCCUCACUUCACCCUGUGUGCCAGUCCUUUAUCUAACUAAAUCUCCACAGAAAAUCCACAAGAUGGGGUUGAAUGACCUUUUGUUAUCCAGAAAAGAAACAGCCUGAGGAGUAAAGUCACCUGACUGAGGUCACUCUGCUAGAAGGUGGGGCAGGGAUUCAGCCCCCGGUGCUGUCCCUGACUCUCUUUCUGCGUGGAGGGAUUCAGGCUCAGCCUCCAGGAACCGGAGACCAGAGCUCCCUAUCUGGGACCCAGCCACUGAGACGUCAGGUCACAAAGAUGGAUAGAACCAGAGGCACUGGGGAGCCGGAGAGCUUUGGAAAUGGGCAUCUUUAUGUCCUUCUGCCUCAGUCUAGAGCUGAGAUUUGUGAAAGGGCCAAAUCAGGGGUAGGAAGAGGGUGCAGUGUAUCCUCCGAGGUGGGAGGAGGCCGGGCCAUUUGACCAUAUCUUUCUCUUCAGAGUUCACUGUUCCCAAAGACACAUUAUAUGUCAUCCAUUUUUAUAUAAAUGGUGAGUUCCCAAAUGGGAUUUAAAGACAGCCUAGCAAAUCUUUACAUCCCUUGGAACUUAAAACAAAGCUUUUCCUUCACAGAAUUCUAAUCUCUCUUGAAUAAGAGGCUACGAAACUGAGGGACAUUAUAAUAACCUUCAUUUAAAAUUAGAUUCUGGAUGUUCUGGUGACUUAGCUGAAAACAGCUCAAAUCAGCGAAAACCUUUACAAAGACUUUUCGAAAGUUGGAAGACAUAUCUGUACACACAGGGCGUAGAGCCGGACUUGGCCAGUAUGUGCCUUCUGCCUCCUCCUGGCAAUGCUUACCCCUUAUUACUGUUAUUUCUGAGACGUGAAUGUUUUCUCAUAGUGAAUGUAGCAGUAAUAGUAAUAAUAAUAAUAAUAAUAAUAAUAAUAAUAAUAAUGAUAAAGAACAGCAACAUUUCUCACAAACCCAUUUCCUGAGUAUUAGCAGAUUUGCUACUGGGCCUUGGUUCCCCUUAGAUCUUGGCUUAAAUGAAUGCUUAAUAAUGAUAACAGAGGCUGGGUGCCAUGUCUUAUGUUGGUAAUCCCAGCACUUUGGAUCACUUGAGGCCAGGAGUUCGAGACCAUCCUGGCCAACAUGGCGAAACCCUGUCUCUACUAACAAUGCAAAAAUUAGCCAGGUGUAGUGGCACAAAUUAGCCGGGUGUAGUGGCACAAAUUAGCCAGGUGUAGUGGCACACCCCUGUAAUUCCAGCUACUUGGGAGGUUGGGGCAUGAGAAUGGCUUGAACCUGGGAGGCGGAGGUUGCAGUGAGCCAAGAUCACAGCACUGCGUUCCAGCCUGGGCAAUAGAGGCACUCUGUCACAAAAG
RNAcentral lists this long non-coding RNA (6604 nucleotides) under Homo sapiens (human). RNAcentral describes it as "HSALNT0130348". The record is from RNAcentral. Lineage: Eukaryota; Metazoa; Chordata; Mammalia; Primates; Hominidae.